This is a long non-coding RNA of Ornithorhynchus anatinus (platypus), 328 nucleotides long. RefSeq lists it as uncharacterized. Lineage: Eukaryota; Metazoa; Chordata; Mammalia; Monotremata; Ornithorhynchidae. The record is from RefSeq and is a predicted model, not a curated record. The transcript is spliced from 2 exons.
GUCCUUUCCAAGCGCUUCAUACAGUGCUCUGCACACAAUAAGCGCUCAAUAGAUGCGAUUGAAUUAACGAUCGACUGAGAAGUCAGCGGCGAGAAUGAUGGCAUCGGACCCAGGACCCCGGACCCCCAGCUUACCGAACAGCUCCAGCUUGAGACAGAACUCCUUGAACCAGCCUCCGGCCUCCACGGAGACCUCGUAGACGCCAGCGUCGCCCCAGGAGGCCUCGGUGAUCUCCAGCGAUGAGUUCUGGGGGAAGAAGGUGUAGCGGGCCUCCAGUUUUCCGACCAGGUUCUUCCUCUGCCCCGAAAACACCUUCUUCUUGUUCGGC